RNAcentral lists this ribosomal RNA (2902 nucleotides) under Escherichia coli. Its description in RNAcentral is "bacterial LSU rRNA". It matches the Rfam family "Bacterial large subunit ribosomal RNA". The record is from RNAcentral. Lineage: Bacteria; Pseudomonadati; Pseudomonadota; Gammaproteobacteria; Enterobacterales; Enterobacteriaceae.
UUAAGCGACUAAGCGUACACGGUGGAUGCCCUGGCAGUCAGAGGCGAUGAAGGACGUGCUAAUCUGCGAUAAGCGUCGGUGAGGUGAUAUGAACCGUUAUAACCGGCGAUUUCCGAAUGGGGAAACCCAGUGUGUUUCGACACACUAUCAUUAACUGAAUCCAUAGGUUAAUGAGGCGAACCGGGGGAACUGAAACAUCUAAGUACCCCGAGGAAAAGAAAUCAACCGAGAUUCCCCCAGUAGCGGCGAGCGAACGGGGAGCAGCCCAGAGCCUGAAUCAGUGUGUGUGUUAGUGGAAGCGUCUGGAAAGGCGCGCGAUACAGGGUGACAGCCCCGUACACAAAAAUGCACAUGCUGUGAGCUCGAUGAGUAGGGCGGGACACGUGGUAUCCUGUCUGAAUAUGGGGGGACCAUCCUCCAAGGCUAAAUACUCCUGACUGACCGAUAGUGAACCAGUACCGUGAGGGAAAGGCGAAAAGAACCCCGGCGAGGGGAGUGAAAAAGAACCUGAAACCGUGUACGUACAAGCAGUGGGAGCCUCUUUAUGGGGUGACUGCGUACCUUUUGUAUAAUGGGUCAGCGACUUAUAUUCUGUAGCAAGGUUAACCGAAUAGGGGAGCCGAAGGGAAACCGAGUCUUAACUGGGCGUUAAGUUGCAGGGUAUAGACCCGAAACCCGGUGAUCUAGCCAUGGGCAGGUUGAAGGUUGGGUAACACUAACUGGAGGACCGAACCGACUAAUGUUGAAAAAUUAGCGGAUGACUUGUGGCUGGGGGUGAAAGGCCAAUCAAACCGGGAGAUAGCUGGUUCUCCCCGAAAGCUAUUUAGGUAGCGCCUCGUGAAUUCAUCUCCGGGGGUAGAGCACUGUUUCGGCAAGGGGGUCAUCCCGACUUACCAACCCGAUGCAAACUGCGAAUACCGGAGAAUGUUAUCACGGGAGACACACGGCGGGUGCUAACGUCCGUCGUGAAGAGGGAAACAACCCAGACCGCCAGCUAAGGUCCCAAAGUCAUGGUUAAGUGGGAAACGAUGUGGGAAGGCCCAGACAGCCAGGAUGUUGGCUUAGAAGCAGCCAUCAUUUAAAGAAAGCGUAAUAGCUCACUGGUCGAGUCGGCCUGCGCGGAAGAUGUAACGGGGCUAAACCAUGCACCGAAGCUGCGGCAGCGACGCUUAUGCGUUGUUGGGUAGGGGAGCGUUCUGUAAGCCUGCGAAGGUGUGCUGUGAGGUAUGCUGGAGGUAUCAGAAGUGCGAAUGCUGACAUAAGUAACGAUAAAGCGGGUGAAAAGCCCGCUCGCCGGAAGACCAAGGGUUCCUGUCCAACGUUAAUCGGGGCAGGGUGAGUCGACCCCUAAGGCGAGGCCGAAAGGCGUAGUCGAUGGGAAACAGGUUAAUAUUCCUGUACUUGGUGUUACUGCGAAGGGGGACGGAGAAGGCUAUGUUGGCCGGGCGACGGUUGUCCCGGUUUAAGCGUGUAGGCUGAUUUUCCAGGCAAAUCCGGAAAAUCAAGGCUGAGGCGUGAUGACGAGGCACUACGGUGCUGAAGCAACAAAUGCCCUGCUUCCAGGAAAAGCCUCUAAGCAUCAGGUAACAUCAAAUCGUACCCCAAACCGACACAGGUGGUCAGGUAGAGAAUACCAAGGCGCUUGAGAGAACUCGGGUGAAGGAACUAGGCAAAAUGGUGCCGUAACUUCGGGAGAAGGCACGCUGAUAUGUAGGUGAAGCGACUUGCUCGUGGAGCUGAAAUCAGUCGAAGAUACCAGCUGGCUGCAACUGUUUAUUAAAAACACAGCACUGUGCAAACACGAAAGUGGACGUAUACGGUGUGACGCCUGCCCGGUGCCGGAAGGUUAAUUGAUGGGGUUAGCGGUAACGCGAAGCUCUUGAUCGAAGCCCCGGUAAACGGCGGCCGUAACUAUAACGGUCCUAAGGUAGCGAAAUUCCUUGUCGGGUAAGUUCCGACCUGCACGAAUGGCGUAAUGAUGGCCAGGCUGUCUCCACCCGAGACUCAGUGAAAUUGAACUCGCUGUGAAGAUGCAGUGUACCCGCGGCAAGACGGAAAGACCCCGUGAACCUUUACUAUAGCUUGACACUGAACAUUGAGCCUUGAUGUGUAGGAUAGGUGGGAGGCUUUGAAGUGUGGACGCCAGUCUGCAUGGAGCCGGCCUUGAAAUACCACCCUUUAAUGUUUGAUGUUCUAACGUUGGCCCCUGAUCGGGGUUGCGGACAGUGUCUGGUGGGUAGUUUGACUGGGGCGGUCUCCUCCUAAAGAGUAACGGAGGAGCACGAAGGUUGGCUAAUCCUGGUCGGACAUCAGGAGGUUAGUGCAAUGGCAUAAGCCAGCUUGACUGCGAGCGUGACGGCGCGAGCAGGUGCGAAAGCAGGUCAUAGUGAUCCGGUGGUUCUGAAUGGAAGGGCCAUCGCUCAACGGAUAAAAGGUACUCCGGGGAUAACAGGCUGAUACCGCCCAAGAGUUCAUAUCGACGGCGGUGUUUGGCACCUCGAUGUCGGCUCAUCACAUCCUGGGGCUGAAGUAGGUCCCAAGGGUAUGGCUGUUCGCCAUUUAAAGUGGUACGCGAGCUGGGUUUAGAACGUCGUGAGACAGUUCGGUCCCUAUCUGCCGUGGGCGCUGGAGAACUGAGGGGGGCUGCUCCUAGUACGAGAGGACCGGAGUGGACGCAUCACUGGUGUUCGGGUUGUCAUGCCAAUGGCACUGCCCGGUAGCUAAAUGCGGAAGAGAUAAGUGCUGAAAGCAUCUAAGCACGAAACUUGCCCCGAGAUGAGUUCUCCCUGAGACUUAGAGUCUCCUGAAGGAACGUUGAAGACGACGACGUUGAUAGGCCGGGUGUGUAAGCGCAGCGAUGCGUUGAGCUAACCGGUACUAAUGAACCGUGAGGCUUAACCUU